GCCUUCGUAGUAUAGUGGUUAGUAUAGAGGACUGUGGAUCCUCGGACAGGAGUUCGAUUCCCCUCGAGGGCC
RNAcentral lists this transfer RNA (72 nucleotides) under Candidatus Nitrosopumilus sp. RNAcentral's name for it is "Nitrosopumilus sp. tRNA-His". It matches the Rfam family "tRNA". From Rfam's summary of the family: Transfer RNA (tRNA) molecules are approximately 80 nucleotides in length. Their secondary structure includes four short double-helical elements and three loops (D, anti-codon, and T loops). Lineage: Archaea; Thermoproteati; Nitrososphaerota; Nitrososphaeria; Nitrosopumilales; Nitrosopumilaceae. The record is from RNAcentral.